GUCACAAAGAAAUGUGACUAUCACAUGUCACAUUCUGGACAUAAAAAUGUGCGCUCAAAAGUCAAUUCUAACAUUUUUUUAUUCAUCGUCUAAUCAGAAUGUGACAUGUGACAACCACGUUUC
This 123-nucleotide microRNA precursor is filed under the name Glycine soja. RNAcentral describes it as "MIR1520 microRNA precursor family". It matches the Rfam family "MIR1520 microRNA precursor family". Lineage: Eukaryota; Viridiplantae; Streptophyta; Magnoliopsida; Fabales; Fabaceae. The record is from Rfam by way of RNAcentral.